This 253-nucleotide ribosomal RNA is filed under the name uncultured bacterium. Its description in RNAcentral is "partial 16S ribosomal RNA". It matches the Rfam family "Bacterial small subunit ribosomal RNA", at positions 524 to 776 of the family's 1533-position model. The record is from RNAcentral.
AACGUAGGUACCGAGCGUUAUCCGGAUUUACUGGGCGUAAAGCGCGUUCAGGCGGUUUGGCAAGUCGGGCAUGAAAUCCUUCGGCUCAACCGGGGGAGGUUGUCCGAUACUGCCGGACUAGAGGGCAGUAGAGGGUGGUGGAAUUCCGGGUGUAGUGGUGAAAUGCGUAGAGAUCCGGAGGAACACCAGUGGCGAAAGCGGCCACCUGGACUGUACCUGACGCUCAAACGCGAAAGCUAGGGGAGCGAACGGG